RNAcentral lists this unclassified non-coding RNA (4202 nucleotides) under Eurytemora carolleeae. RNAcentral describes it as "transmembrane and TPR repeat-containing protein CG4050". The record is from RNAcentral. Lineage: Eukaryota; Metazoa; Arthropoda; Copepoda; Calanoida; Temoridae.
UUCAGUUUGUUCCCGGCCUUUCCGGAGUGAAGACAGGUAGAGACUGAACCCGCACUCAAACCAUGGUUGUUGGCGGCAUGCGGAGCAGGGACGGAUAUGGUUCGAACCACAUCUGGGUAGGAUAAACACCCUUACCUUCAAACAAUGGUCGCGCACUCUUGAGUAUGGAAAAGCCUGGGCUAGGAGAAGGAGGAGGAGGAGGAGGAAGAGGAGGGUCAGGGGGCGGGAGCGGCGGGAACAGCGGCGUCCUCCAAACCUUUAUUAUAUUAGUGUGUAUAAGCCUGUACUGGAACUCUCUACAGUGUGGGUUUGUGUUUGAUGAUAUGAGUGCGAUAAGAGACAAUAGGGACCUGAGACCUCAUGUUCCAAUCCAGAACAUAUUCAAGAACGAUUUCUGGGGAACUCCGAUGAACAAGGAGCAAAGUCAUAAAUCCUACAGACCGAUUACUGUUCUCACCUUCAGAUUGAACUAUCUAGUUCAUGAACUGGAUCCACUAGGUUAUCAUCUGGUAAAUAUUCUCCUGCAUGCUGCUGUAACCUUGAUGUAUCAUAGUCUUUGUUCAUCGCUUCUUUCAAGACCUGGAGCAGCUGUUGCUGCUCUUCUCUUCGCUGUUCAUCCUGUUCACACUGAAGCAGUGUCUGGAGUAGUGGGCAGAGCAGAGCUUCUAGCAUCGCUUUUCUUUCUCUCCGCUCUUCUCAAGUACAAGGAUCUAUCCUGGAGAAGAACUGUUGAAUGGAAAGGAUUGAUGUGGAUUUCUCUCCUGGUUACACUGUCAAUGAUGUGUAAGGAGCAAGGAAUUACUGUGAUAGCGCUCUGCGCACUUCACGAGGUUUUCGUGGAGCAGAAACUGUCUCACACAGAUCUUGUUGUGUUUAGUCAAAUCUUUGCUGGGGGUAAAGUUGGACUUCCUCCCUGGGUUAAACUCUCUGCUCAGAGACUAUCAAUUCUUGUUCUAGCCGGAAUCUGUCUUAUGAUCGGACGUCUAAAGAUAAUGGGCUCUCAGCUUCCAGUUUUCACCAAGUUUGACAAUCCUGCUGCGGUUGCAGAAACUCCAACCCGUCAGCUGACACACAACUACUUGCUUACGGUCAACUCCUGGUUACUCUUAGCCCCUGCUGAUCUCUGUUGUGAUUGGACAAUGAACACAGUACCACUAGUGACAUCUGUUAGUGAUCCCAGAAACCUUGCCACAAUUUUACUUUACGCUCUACUAGCACAUCUAGCUUACAAAGGGUUCAGUUGCAACCCAACCCACGAAGCGUCUGUGAUAUUAACUGGAUUGGGACUCCUUGUUUUACCCUUUAUCCCUGCUUCAAACCUAUUCUUUCCAGUAGGGUUUGUUGUAGCCGAGAGAGUAUUGUACCUGCCCUCGAUGGGGUUCUGUCUACUCGUGGCCUUUGGGUGUGAUAAAAUAUUUCGUAAAGGUGGAGUAUGUCGAUAUCUAGUCUUAGCUGGACUAGCUCUCACCCUGGCUACUCACUCCUGUAAAACUAUAAUGAGGAAUGAGGAGUGGAAGGACGAGUAUGCUCUGUUUAAAUCAGGACUUAGAGUAAAUGCUGGGAACGCUAAGCUCUUCAACAACGUGGGACAUGCUCUAGAAUCCAAGGGACGAUACGAGGAGGCUCUGAACUAUUUUCACGCAGCUGUAAACGUCCAGCCGGACGAUAUUGGUGCACAUAUUAACGUCGGACGAACCUACAAUCACAUGGCGAGGUUCAAUGAAGCUGAGGAAGCGUAUUUAAAAGCUAAAUCCUUGUUACCAAAACCUAAACCCGGAGAAUCGUAUCAAGCACGUGUAGCGCCGAAUCAUUUAAAUGUAUUUUUAAGUCUUGCAACCUUGAUUUCUAAGAACGGAUCAAGGCUUGAAGAAGCUGACCUGCUUUACAGGCAAGCAAUAUCUAUGAGAUCAGAUUACACUCAGGCCUACAUAAACAGAGGAGAUAUUCUUCUUAAACUAAACCGAACCAAGGAAGCCCAGGAGGUGUAUGAAAGAGCAUUGUUCUAUGAUAACACAAAUCCUGAUAUAUACUACAACCUUGGUGUAGUUCUCAUAGAGCAGGGAAGACACGGACAGGCUCUAGCAUAUCUCAACAAGGCUUUAGAGUUUGAUCCUGAUCAUAGCCAGGCUCUUCUCAACUCCGCCAUGUUAAUCCAGGAGAGUGGUAGCUCCCAGCUCCGACAACUAGCCGUCGAUAGAUUAAACAAGAUAGUGGAGAAAGGGCAGGUCAACGAGAGAGUUUACUUUAAUCUUGGAAUGCUUUCAAUGGACGGAGGAAACCUGGAAACCUCCGAGUACUGGUUUAGAAAAGCGAUAGAGUUGAAGAAUGAUUUUAGAAGCGCUUUGUUCAACCUUGCUCUUCUUCUAUCAGAUUCUGACCGACCUCUAGAGGCGGCUCCAUUCCUUCAUCAACUUAUUAAACAUCACCCCAACCACACUAAAGGUUUGAUUCUCCUCGGAGAUAUUUAUAUAAACCAUCUGAGGGAUCUAGACGCUGCUGAGGGUUGCUACAGGAAGAUCUUAGCAGUGGACCCGGAGAACGUGCAAGGGUUACACAACCUUUGUGUCGUUAUGGUUGAGCGCGGUCAGCUGGGAAAGGCUAGAACCUGUUUACAGAAAGCGCACAAUUUAGCGCCUCAGGAGGAUUAUAUUAGGAAACAUCUUGAUAUUGUGGAACUAAAAAUCAUUGAAACUAACAAGGAGACGGAGAAAUGAGUUUUACAUCAAAAUUAAACUAAAUAUCGAUUUGUUGGAUUUGUGUUCUGUAACAUUGUUUCUAAAUCCGAGGGAUAUCAUGAGUAGCGUCCAACAGAUGGCAGAACCAGACAACUCCGUAGGGAGGGAAAAACUGUUCUCUGGGGAAUAGUAUUGCAGUGCUAUUGGAAAAUACUCCGAAACAAGUUGAACCGGAGUCUGUAUGAGUGUUUAAGGAUAUGAGGUGAGGCAGGAGAAAGAAGAAAAUAUUCAACUUCAGUUCCGUGGUUUAAACAACUUGUAUAGGAUAAAACAACUCUCUUGGUAAUCAUUUGAACUCAACUUUGAUUAGAAAUUUAAUCAUUUUUCCGAACCUGAGUUAAAGAACCAAGAACAUUCUCAGAAAAAAUCUCUAAAUCACACUUAAACCCUCUUCUACCACAAUUCUAAUUGUAUACUCUGAUUACUAUGGUUUCUGGUUCUAGGCAUUAUGGCUCCAGGUAUAGAAUCCAGUAAGGAUCCUUGAUAGGAUCAUUCGAAUAAUUUUUUGACACGAUCAAUGCAAAACAAAUUAGAAUGUUCAGCUCUAGUAAGGAACAAAAUUAAAACUGGAUAUUUUGAAGAGAAAUCAUUUAUGUAUGUGCCAUCACUGAGUUAUCAUUGAAUUUGAAAUUAAUUAUUUUUUCUUAAGAAAACAAUCCACAGAUUGAACUUAAAUCAAUCAAUCAAUGCAAUCUAUUAGUCAGAAAUCUAACUAAACUGGUUGAACAAAUUUAUUCAAAAACAUAUCUUUAUCUGAUUAUUUGUUUAAUAUAAUUGUAUAAUGUAAAAUGUAAAAUGUGCUCUUUAAAUCUUUAAAUCUAUCUUUCUUACUUAUUAAAGAUCAAGUUUUUGAUGUGUUGUCAGCUUUAAUUUCAAACUCAACGUUUAUUUUUUACAUCGUUAAAUCUUUAAACCCUUUUCUAUACUGCGAUCUAACCGUCCGACCAUUAUUAUUAUUAUUAUUGUUAAAUUUGCUCACUGCUUAGUUCCCAAUGCAAAGAACACGAGUGAACACGUGUCAUUUCUUCUGAUAGAUUUAUAAAUAUAUAUAAUUAUUAUAAACUGUUAAAUCAAUGCAUUCCAGAGCUUUUAUCCAAAUUUCUUAUUUUUUAAUCAACCAAGAAAUUAAUUUGACCAUCUUAUAAUUUUGAAUCCCUCUGCUGUGUCAAUUGUUCCUGCAUUUUAAACAUUUAUUGUUUUCCAGUUUUGUACGACUAGUAAUGGCAUUCUCACUUACACAUAAUGCUAAUUUUUUUCUUUUUAAAGCCAUAUACUAGUCAUAUAACACUUACAUCUACUUAUGUGUGUACACAAUUGUAAACCGUUGUACUAACUGUACUGUAAAGUGUAAUGCAGUUUAAACCCCGUGUUUGUAUAUGUACGUCUUGAAUCAUGAAUGUUCUAAACGUAUUUCUGUUCUAUAUCUACACGCUUACAGUGAUCAUAAAUAAAUAUGUGAUAAAAAUA